UAGUCUAUGAUUCUAGGGUUACUAUCUCAAACUUUAGAUCUCACAAGUGAGGGGAUGGGGUAGUCUAAACAUAGAGCUAGGAUAUUAUAAGAAGAUUACCUUAACUAAGUCAUACUUGCAUAUUACCCUUACCUAUCCUAAAAAUAAAAACUAAAAAAAAUCAUAUCAUCCUCCUCAUCAAAAUCAAAUUGUUUGCAUUCAUUCAUUUCAGGAAUCUUAAUCAUCAUCCAGGC
RNAcentral lists this long non-coding RNA (233 nucleotides) under Lathyrus oleraceus (garden pea). RNAcentral's name for it is "Pisum sativum (pea) long non-coding RNA (PSAT_LNC009514)". Lineage: Eukaryota; Viridiplantae; Streptophyta; Magnoliopsida; Fabales; Fabaceae. The record is from RNAcentral.